UCCACAGUGGCCUAAUGGACAAAGAACUGACCUUCGAAGCCAGGAGUUGUGGGUUCAAGUCCCACCUAGGGUA
RNAcentral lists this transfer RNA (73 nucleotides) under Pelodiscus sinensis (Chinese soft-shelled turtle). It matches the Rfam family "tRNA". From Rfam's summary of the family: Transfer RNA (tRNA) molecules are approximately 80 nucleotides in length. Their secondary structure includes four short double-helical elements and three loops (D, anti-codon, and T loops). Lineage: Eukaryota; Metazoa; Chordata; Testudines; Trionychidae. The record is from Rfam by way of RNAcentral.